GAUGAACGCUGGCGGCGUGCCUAAUACAUGCAAGUCGAGCGAACGGACGAGAAGCUUGCUUCUCUGAUGUUAGCGGCGGACGGGUGAGUAACACGUGGAUAACCUACCUAUAAGACUGGGAUAACUUCGGGAAACCGUAGCUAAUACCGGAUAAUAUUUUGAACCGCAUGGUUCAAAAGUGAAAGACGGUCUUGCUGUCACUUAUAGAUGGAUCCGCGCUGCAUUAGCUAGUUGGUAGGGUAACGGCUUACCAAGGCAACGAUGCAUAGCCGACCUGAGAGGGUGGUCGACCACACUGGAACUGAGACACGGUCCCGGCUCCUACGGGAGGCAACAGUAGGGAAUCUUCCGCAAUGGGCGGAAGCCUGACGGAGCAACGCCGCGUGAGUGAUGAAGGUCUUCGGAUCGUAAAACUCUGUUAUUAGGGAAGAACAUAUGUGUAAGUAACUGUGCACAUCUUGACGGUACCUAAUCAGAAAGCCACGGCUAACUACGUG
Molecule: ribosomal RNA, 497 nt
Filed under: uncultured bacterium
Lineage: Bacteria
Description: partial 16S ribosomal RNA
Rfam family: Bacterial small subunit ribosomal RNA
Source: RNAcentral